GGGUCCGUAGCUCAGCUAGGAUAGAGCGCCGGCCUUCGGAGCCGGUGGUCCGGGGUUCAAAUCCCGGGGUUCGCC
RNAcentral lists this transfer RNA (75 nucleotides) under Thermoprotei archaeon. RNAcentral's name for it is "tRNA-Arg". It matches the Rfam family "tRNA". Rfam says of the family: Transfer RNA (tRNA) molecules are approximately 80 nucleotides in length. Their secondary structure includes four short double-helical elements and three loops (D, anti-codon, and T loops). Lineage: Archaea; Thermoproteati; Thermoproteota; Thermoprotei. The record is from RNAcentral.